RNAcentral lists this ribosomal RNA (407 nucleotides) under uncultured bacterium. RNAcentral's name for it is "partial 16S ribosomal RNA". It matches the Rfam family "Bacterial small subunit ribosomal RNA", at positions 30 to 526 of the family's 1533-position model. The record is from RNAcentral.
AUUGAACGCUGGCGGCAGGCCUAACACAUGCAAGUCGAACGGAGUGGCGGACGGGUGAGUAAUGUUUGGGAAUCUGCCUUGUAGAGGGGGAUAACGUCGGGAAACUGUCGCUAAUACCGCAUACUAUCAGAUGAGCCUAGGUGGGAUUCGCUAGUUGGUGGGGUAAAGGCCUACCAAGGCGACGAUCCGUAGCUGGUCUGAGAGGAUGAUCAGCCACACUGGGACUGAGACACGGCCCAGACUCCUACGGGAGGCAGCAGUGGGGAAUAUUGGACAAUGGGGGAAAGCCUGAGGCAGCCAUGCCGCGUGUAUGAAGAAGGCCUUCGGGUUGUAAAGUACUUUCAGUGGGGAGGCGUUAACAACAGAAUAAGCACCGGCUAACUUCGUGCCAGCAGCCGCGGUAAUAC